RNAcentral lists this ribosomal RNA (550 nucleotides) under uncultured fungus. Its description in RNAcentral is "eukaryotic LSU rRNA". It matches the Rfam family "Eukaryotic large subunit ribosomal RNA", at positions 62 to 636 of the family's 3401-position model. Lineage: Eukaryota; Fungi. The record is from RNAcentral.
AAACCAACAGGGAUUGCCCCAGUAACGGCGAGUGAAGCGGCAACAGCUCAAAUUUGAAAUCUGGCCCCAGGCCCGAGUUGUAAUUUGCAGAGGAUGCUUUUGGCGCGGUGCCUUCCGAGUUCCCUGGAACGGGACGCCAUAGAGGGUGAGAGCCCCGUACGGUUGGACACCAAGCCUUUGUAAAGCUCCUUCGACGAGUCGAGUAGUUUGGGAAUGCUGCUCUAAAUGGGAGGUACAUUUCUUCUAAAGCUAAAUAUUGGCCAGAGACCGAUAGCGCACAAGUAGAGUGAUCGAAAGAUGAAAAGCACUUUGAAAAGAGGGUUAAACAGCACGUGAAAUUGUUAAAAGGGAAGCGCUUGUGACCAGACUUGCGUCCGGUGAAUCACCCAGCUCUCGCGGCUGGGGCACUUCGCCGGCACAGGCCAGCAUCAGCUUGCCGUCGGGGACAAAAGCUUCAGGAACGUGGCUCCUCUCGGGGAGUGUUAUAGCCUGUUGCACAAUACCCUUCGGCGGGCUGAGGUACGCGCUCCGCAAGGAUGCUGGCGUAAUG